This 484-nucleotide ribosomal RNA is filed under the name uncultured bacterium. RNAcentral describes it as "bacterial SSU rRNA". It matches the Rfam family "Bacterial small subunit ribosomal RNA", at positions 328 to 801 of the family's 1533-position model. The record is from RNAcentral.
UCUGUGAACUCCUACGGGAGGCAGCAGUGGGGAAUUUUGGACAAUGGGGGCAACCCUGAUCCAGCAAUGCCGCGUGAGUGAAGAAGGCCUUAUGGUUGUAAAGCACUUUAAGCGAGGAGGAGGCUACUGAGACUAAUACUCUUGGAUAGUGGACGUUACUCGCAGAAUAAGCACCGGCUAACUCUGUGCCAGCAGCCGCGGUAAUACAGAGGGUGCGAGCGUUAAUCGGAUUUACUGAGCGUAAAGCGUGCGUAGGCGGCCUUUUAAGUCGGAUGUGAAAUCCCCGAGCUUAACUUGGGAAUUGCAUUCGAUACUGGGAAGCUAGAGUAUGGGAGAGGAUGGUAGAAUUCCAGGUGUAGCGGUGAAAUGCGUAGAGAUCUGGAGGAAUACCGAUGGCGAAGGCAGCCAUCUGGCCUAAUACUGACGCUGAGGUACGAAAGCAUGGGGAGCAAACAGGAUUAGAAACCCGAGUAGUCCAUCAGCG